RNAcentral lists this ribosomal RNA (385 nucleotides) under uncultured bacterium. RNAcentral describes it as "bacterial SSU rRNA". It matches the Rfam family "Bacterial small subunit ribosomal RNA", at positions 28 to 404 of the family's 1533-position model. The record is from RNAcentral.
GACGAACGCUGGCGGCGUGCUUAACACAUGCAAGUUGAACGAAGCAAUUCGAGUUAGUUUACUAACAUGGAUUGACUUAGUAGCGGACGGGUGAGUAACGUGUGAGCAACCUACCUUUGUGAGGGGGACAACAGCUGGAAACGGCUGCUAAUACCGCAUCAGGCCACAGCAUCGCAUGAUGCAGUGGUAAAAGAUUUAUCGCACAAAGAUGGGCUCGCAUCCCAUUAGCUAGUUGGUAAGUAACGGCUUACCAAGCGACGAUGGGUAGCGACCUGAGAGGGUGAUCGGCCACACUGGAACUGAGACACGGUCCAGACUCCUACGGGAGGCAGCAGUGGGGAAUAUUGGGCAAUGGGCGCAAGCCUGACCCAGCAACGCCGCGUGA